UUUCAGGAGAAAUGAUACCAGCUUUUUUUGUACCUCUGGUAGAAUUCAACUGUGACUCCAUCUGGUCCUGGGCUUUUUUUGAUUGGGAAGCCAUGUGACUUCAUCCUCCGUGGCUCUGGUGGUCUCUUCGACAUCUGUGAGAUACUCACUAAAAGCUGGUUGCGCUUUGAGAUCUGGGCGCCUGCUGGAACCUGGAGCCACAAGUCUUCAUUCAUGCUAAAGAACUCCUGUCUUGGUGGAGUGGCUCGGCUGGCCCGUGUAUGGGAACCCAUGAGGCUGUCCGCGCAUCCCGAAGUGUGACCUUCCAGGCCCACAGGGUGGCUGGCGCUGGGCUUCUUCGUGGCCCGCGACAGUCCGGCCACCUUCAUCGGCCAGUGGCGCACGGAUCUGGGCGACUCCGAAGUGCUCCGCGAGCUGGCAAGGGAGACACUGGGACUCUGCACCCGCUCAGCUCCCCAAGAUAAAGGCCUCGGAGGGGAAGUUCCGCGUGGGAGACUCCGGCCUGUUGGUCUCUGUGCUGGUGCGGGGGAGCCGCGUGACGGCGCGCGUGGGUGUGGCGACCCGCUGGAGCGCUACCUGGACCGUCAGGACCCGCGCUGCCGCUCCUCCACUACCCACUGCCCGCCCCCGUCGAGGGUCCGCACCCUGUCCCCGCAGAGGGUGUCGCCCACCCCUAGCCCCUGCCCUGGUAGCCUGGUCCCCUCGAGAGAGCGCCGGCGCUCCGGGCCCUAGGUGACCCCUAUUCGCUUACAAAGCAUAAAGCAGGUGCCGAGGCUCCCAGGCCCUGGGAUCAGCUGCCCGCCGCAUCCCCGCUCCUACUCCGAGGACAGUGACUCCUCAGCUUUCUCAGCCCAGAGCCGCCCCCUUGGUGCCCGCAGCGAGGAUGAGGCACUAGGCCCGGAGGAAGCGAUCCAGACGGGGGCUGACCACCACCACCUGGCCUCUCCGAGACGGCCCCCUGCCCCGCGCAGCCAGUCCCGGGACCGGCUGGAUCCGGGUCAGCCCCGGGGAGCUCCAGAAGAGAGAGGAGGGGAGCCCAGCUGCGGGCCCUCAGCCCUGCCCCGUGGGCGCAGGAGCAGGUUGGGCGCAAGGAUGGAGAUGGGCAGCACUCGUGGGAGCCACAGGGCAGGGGCAGCGGGGCUCGGGCAGGAGCACUCCUGGGCUCUCCGUGCCCACCACCCUGAAGCACCCUGGCUUUCCCAGUCCAAACCCAGUGUAGAGUUUAGCACCACACGCGCCAGCGUCUUCCGCACACACCAGAGCAGCUGCUCUGACGCCUGGACGAGGAGUUUCUGGCCAAUGCCGGGACCCAUAAGGCUGUUGCUAGCGGGACCUCCACUAGACCAGCCCCUAACCGGGCUCCAGCCCCAGACCCUCUAGCUCCUGACUCGGCCUACAGAUCCUCUAGUUCCUCCUCUUCAUCCCUCAUUCUCUUGUAUGGCAAACGUGGCCAACGUGGGGACUCUGGCCUUAAGACCAAUGGGCUGCCCGGCCCGCUGUCAAGCCCUUCCCAGCUCCUCCUCCAAUGAAGGAAAGCCCUGCCCUAGCAUGGGAGGGGCUACUAGAUGCACCUGGGAGCCCCCUGACUGGUCCAGAACACUCGAGGACCUGAGCACUGGGUAGGAUGGACACACAGCCAGACUGCAAACCCUCGGGCAUCCCCAUGCCUAGGGUCUCCCCCGGGUUCCUCCAGACCCACAGAGUUGGGGGGUGCGGGGGGAAGGGGAAGGGAGCUUGCAUGCCUCCAGCCAGGUUCCUGGACCAGACCAGCUGCCCCCAAACCCUGUCCCUUCUCCUUUUCGUUUGUGGCCUUAACCCUCUUUGCAUCAGGGGGCCCCCUCUGCCUCUUGCGUUCCUGACCUCAUGGGACCAGACUCCUCAGGAAUGUCACAAUGGGACCUCUAUUGUACAUUACAGUUGGGGGAUGAGCUUUGCUAUUUAAUUACUAAUAUUAUUGAAUGCCUUAGAGGAGGCCAGAGCAGCCUGGUAUCCUGAGGACACGUGGCCCAGCAGAGCCUCUGAACAGUAAAGUUUUGCUCCAGCCAAAAUGAGAGAGAGAGAGAAUCUAUUAAGUUAGUUUAACCAGAACCCCCCUUAUCCCUGAUGCUUCCUGUUAGUAAUUUUGUAUCCAGUGACCCCUGUCCCUUGGCCAUAAAUUCCUACUUGUGCUUGUUCUAUUUGGAAUAGAGCCCAGUUCUGUACUGAUGUCUCUUUUCCCCAACUGAGAUAGUUUCUAAAUAAAAUUUGCCUUUGCUGCUUUAA
Homo sapiens (human) is the source of this 2262-nucleotide long non-coding RNA. Ensembl annotates it as growth arrest specific 2 like 1 pseudogene 2. Its record names the gene GAS2L1P2. The record is from Ensembl. Lineage: Eukaryota; Metazoa; Chordata; Mammalia; Primates; Hominidae.